GACGAACGCUGGCGGCGUGCCUAAUACAUGCAAGUAGAACGCACAGUUUAUACCGUAGCUUGCUACACCAUAAACUGUGAGUUGCGAACGGGUGAGUAACGCGUAGGUAACCUGCCUGGUAGCGGGGGAUAACUAUUGGAAACGAUAGCUAAUACCGCAUAAUAUUAAUUAUCGCAUGAUAAUUGAUUGAAAGAUGCAAUUGCAUCACUACCAGAUGGACCUGCGUUGUAUUAGCUAGUAGGUGAGGUAACGGCUCACCUAGGCGACGAUACAUAGCCGACCUGGGAGGGUGAUCGGCCACACUGGGACUGGGACACGGCCCCGACUCCGACGGGAGGGAGCAGUAGGGGAUCUUCGGCAAUAGACGAAAGUCUGACCGAGCAACGCCGCGUGAGUGAAGAAGGGUUUCGGGUCGUAAAGGUCUGUUGUUAGAGAAGGACGGGAGUGGGAGUGGAAAGUUCACACUGUGACGGUACCUUACCAGAAAGGGACGGCUAACUACGUG
Molecule: ribosomal RNA, 505 nt
Filed under: uncultured bacterium
Lineage: Bacteria
Description: partial 16S ribosomal RNA
Rfam family: Bacterial small subunit ribosomal RNA
Source: RNAcentral